AAAUGCCAGUGCCCAAGCACGGUAAGACUACCAAGUGUAAAUGGAAGAAAAUCAGGGAGUGAAGCUCUUGGGAUUUUGGGUGAGCCCAUAUGUUCUAAGAGUGAAGUGGGCACUGAAACUGAAGGGGAUAGAGUAUGAAUACAUUGAAGAAGACGUAUUCAACAAGAGCCCUUUACUUUUGAAGCUGAAUCCUGUUAAGGGACAAGUUCCUGUGCUAGUUCAUGAUGGAAAACCAAUACCAGAGUCAAUUGUAAUCCUGGAAUAUAUUGAUGAAGUGUGGAAACAUAGUCCGUUGUUGCCUCAAGAUCCUUAUGAAAGAGCCAAUUCUCGUUUCUGGGCUAAAUUUGCUGCAGAAAAGCUUCAAGCAUAUGCAUGGGAAGCUCUAUGUUCAAGAGGUGAAGACCACGAAAGAGCCAAAAAAGCAGCUAUGGAGGCCUUGGAGAAGAUGGAAAAGGAGCUAAAUGGGAAAAAGUUUUUUGGAGGAGAUAAAAUUGGUUUUGUAGACCUUGUGGCUGGCUUCAUUUCUUACCAACUCCCCGUGUACGAGGAAAUUGUUUCGAUGAAAAUUCUUGACUCGUCAAAAUUCCCAGCUAUCACAAACUGGAUCAAUAAUUUUCUCAACCACCCCUUGAUUAAGGAAGAGUUGCCACCAAAGCAUAAGAUGCUUGCUUACUUUUCCAACCGACGCAACGUUAUACUGGUUCAGAAUUCAUCAAACGAGUGAUCAAGAACUAAAACAUACAAGAAAUGAAGGAAGAAAUUAGGCAUAACAAAAUGGAGAAGUGUUGGAAGAAAGCUAGAAGAAAAAGAAAACAACUAGUGGUUGACGAGAGUCACGCGACUGAUGAGGGUCAACUGCAUUCUACUGUUCUUCCUUCAUCUCCUCAGCAGGUAUUAUGCACUUUUACAUCUCUGCUGUUUAUGUCAGACAAGCUUAUGGAAGGUGAGGCAUGACUAAUUUGUUCAUUGUUGGGUCCAUUGGCUUUCACUUUCAAUUUCUUGAAAGGAAAAUUGCUAUGGUCUGUUUAUCUCUGCAAUGGAACAGCAACCUUGAUGGCUUUUCAAGAGCCAAAACUGAUUACUGAUGGUCGCAAUCUACCAUUGCAUUAAAAUCUAGAUGACACAUCACAAACUUUUGUUGCUUUUGAUAUUUUCAAUUUUUGGGGAUGAUAGAGGUUUUGUGUUGCAUUUUAUGGAGGUUAUUAUAAUAGGCGCUAUGGCGAUUCAGUAGAAUUUCCAGUUCCCUUAGGUUACAGUCCUUCUCUACUCUCUAGAGAUCUUUAGGCGCCGUAUUGAUAUUUUGUGUUGAUAACUGAUAAAGCUCCCAAUCCAACCUCAACCUAUGAAGAAUUAUAAGGAAAGGGAACUUUUCAAAGUUCAUACCUCUUAUUGUGAUUACAUAAAAAGGCGUUGAUAGUUUCAACAGUCAAUAAUCCAACAAUACCGGUUGAAAAAUGGUUAUAAAUGGAUCAUCAAAAAGUUGGCAACAAUGAUAAUUACAUUGGUGGUUUUAACACUGUAAAGUGUAAAACGUGGAUCUGGAAUCAGAUUUAUGAUGGAUAGGGAGUUCUUAUCAUAAAAUGCUGAAUGAGAAGCAGACACUAUUUAGUAGUACUUUUGUUGUCAUCAAAGCUAAUGUCCUCUGGCUUUAUGCUGAAGAGGGUGUUGAUCUUGUGAUAAAAGGUACUUCUGGUGAACAAAUUCAAGAUUUCCAUGACAAGACUAGUAAGAACAUCAAGAGUCCAAGAUGCAAGUUUCUUUCCCUCUGUAUUGUCCUUCAGCACUGAAAUUGAAAUUGUGUUCUAUUGGUUUCUCAUUAGAUUAAUAGCUUUUAUUUUGGUAUGUCUAUACAGGAUAUGGCAACUCCGCCUCCAAAGCACAGAUAUCUGACUUGAAGAUCAAGUGCAGUCCCAAACCAAUGUGCAAGUUGUACGGCUUCCCCCAGAUAUUUACUUCAGAACCAAAUGGGAACUCCCAAAACAUGUUUUGUCACGGAAAAGAGGAGUCUGCUAGAGGCAAAAAAGUACGCCCCAUUCAGCAAGCAGAGAGAUACUGGCUUUUGAACAUUGUACUUCAGAAUUCCCUCGGCAAAUCAGGCCUGAUCAUGUACUACAAGUCUCAACUGAAUCAGAAGACUCCUCUGCUUCAAUUGGGAAGGACAGGCUAGAAGUGGAAUCUGUGUAAUCUUUAUUGUAGCUAAGAAUAACUGCAAACAUUUGGAGAAUUAGUCUAUGCAGCAAAGUAACUUGGGGUACGGGAGAGACCGCCUAAACAACAUAGAUUAAGUUCGUAUUGUACCUUUCCUUUUAUUUGAAGUUAUUUCAUG
This is a non-coding RNA of Coffea arabica (coffee), 2326 nucleotides long. NCBI's taxonomy places the organism in Eukaryota, Viridiplantae, Streptophyta, Magnoliopsida, Gentianales, Rubiaceae. The record is from RefSeq and is a predicted model, not a curated record.